UGGCACAGUGGUUAAAGCACUUGGUUUCUAACCAAAAGGUCAGUGGUUCGAGCCCACU
Molecule: transfer RNA, 58 nt
Filed under: Loxodonta africana (African savanna elephant)
Lineage: Eukaryota; Metazoa; Chordata; Mammalia; Proboscidea; Elephantidae
Rfam family: tRNA
About the family: Transfer RNA (tRNA) molecules are approximately 80 nucleotides in length. Their secondary structure includes four short double-helical elements and three loops (D, anti-codon, and T loops). Further hydrogen bonds mediate the characteristic L-shaped molecular structure. tRNAs have two regions of fundamental functional importance: the anti-codon, which is responsible for specific mRNA codon recognition, and the 3' end, to which the tRNAs corresponding amino acid is attached (by aminoacyl-tRNA synthetases). tRNAs cope with the degeneracy of the genetic code in two manners: having more than one tRNA (with a specific anti-codon) for a particular amino acid; and 'wobble' base-pairing, i.e. permitting non-standard base-pairing at the 3rd anti-codon position.
Source: Rfam by way of RNAcentral